AGCACCGAAGCCUGCGGCAGGUUUGCUGCUAGGCAAUGUGGUGUGCGGGUUAGCAACGGCGAGACCGCCGCUCCACUCGAAGUCCAGCAUUGAGUAUGGCUGCCUGUCUCUGUGCGUCCUGUUCCGUUCGCGGGGCGGGGCAGCGGGGAGAGGUGAUAUUGGCCCAGAGAGGGUGAGAGGCCCGUGCGAGUGGAGUAGCAUGCAAGUAAGCGCGGUCUACCUAGCUGACCUCAGAGUCGGGUUGUUUGAGAUUGCAGCCCAAAGUGGGUGGUAAACUCCAUCCAAGGCUAAAUACUGGCACGAGUCCGAUAGCGAACAAGUACCGUGAGGGAAAGUUGAAAAGUACUCUGAAGAGAGAGUAAAGAGCACGUGAAACCGCAUGCAGGUAAACGGGUGGCGUCAAGCUGCUAGCCCGGAGAAUUCAGCUGGCUGGGGUGUAGUGUGCGCGGAGCGCCUGGCGUGGCGCCAGUGGCCGGAAUAAGAUGUAGUUGGCAUUUGGAGAGCCGGGUGGGUGCCGGUGCAUGCCGCUCGUCUGUUGGGCCGACCAGUCAGUGCACUUUCUCCGUGGUGAACACCACGACCGGUGGUAUUGCCAGUCUGCUUGUGCCAAGUCGCGGAUGCCUAGUUGCUCCGUCGUCCGGCUUGUCUGGGCGUGCGUGAGGGGCUAGGUGUGUGCGAUCGCAGGCGAAUGGGACGGCGGCCUCGUGCCGUCGUGCCACCGUCGUAAGCGGUGCGCGCGUUGUGUGCUUCGGUCGCGCGUGCGUGCCGGCGGGCAUGAGUGGUGAAAGGGACUGUGCAAGGCAUCGGAGUUGGCCACCUCGACCGUGAGACAGGUGUCUGAGUGCAUGGGCGGACGUAGCGGCUGCCUGCGGUGUUUCGAGCCUGACCGUGGUGUCGCUCACGAAAAGUGGGCCCUGCGGUGGCAUUCGUGGACCGGCAGUCUGUGUGUAGUGUGCAGUGUGUCUACGUUCGUGGUCCUGCCUUUGGCAUCGGGGGUGGAAGAGUCUGUGGUGCUGUGGUAGACGAGCUACCCGACCCGUCUUGAAACACGGACCAAGGAGUUUAACAUGUGUGCGAGUCAAAGGGUCCUACGAAACCCCUAGGCGCAGUGAAAGUGAAGCCGGCCUCGCGUCGGUGAGGUGAGAUCCCGCCGUUGUGUACUGCUGCUGCAAAGUCGUCGCUGAUCCAGGCGAGAAGGGCGGCGGGCGCAUCACCGGCCCGUCCCAAGGUGUGCACGCAGCUGCAGCCUCGGUUGUAUGCUGUGGGCCAUCGGGGCGGAGCAUGAGCACACACGUUGAGACCCGAAAGAUGGUGAACUAUGCUUGCGUAGGUUGAAGCCAGAGGAAACUCUGGUGGAGGACCGUAGCGAUUCUGACGUGCAAAUCGAUCGUCAAACGUGAGUAUAGGGGCG
Molecule: ribosomal RNA, 1411 nt
Filed under: Cyclophylidea gen. sp. ECR-2020
Lineage: Eukaryota; Metazoa; Platyhelminthes; Cestoda; Cyclophyllidea
Description: partial large subunit ribosomal RNA
Rfam family: Eukaryotic large subunit ribosomal RNA
Source: RNAcentral